UACAGAGACGUCGAGCGUUGUUCGGAUUCAUUGGGCGUAAAGGGUGCGUAGGCGGUCGGGCAAGUCGGAUGUGAAAUCCCAGAGCUUAACUUUGGAAGUGCAUCCGAAACUACCUGGCUUGAGGACUGGAGGGGAGACUGGAAUUCUCGGUGUAGCGGUGAAAUGCGUAGAUAUCGAGAGGAACACCUGUGGCGAAGGCGGGUCUCUGGACAGUUCCUGACGCUGAGGCACGAAAGCCAGGGUAGCAAACGGG
Molecule: ribosomal RNA, 253 nt
Filed under: uncultured bacterium
Lineage: Bacteria
Description: partial 16S ribosomal RNA
Rfam family: Bacterial small subunit ribosomal RNA
Source: RNAcentral